RNAcentral lists this transfer RNA (67 nucleotides) under Papyrocranus congoensis. RNAcentral describes it as "tRNA-Cys". It matches the Rfam family "tRNA". From Rfam's summary of the family: Transfer RNA (tRNA) molecules are approximately 80 nucleotides in length. Their secondary structure includes four short double-helical elements and three loops (D, anti-codon, and T loops). Further hydrogen bonds mediate the characteristic L-shaped molecular structure. tRNAs have two regions of fundamental functional importance: the anti-codon, which is responsible for specific mRNA codon recognition, and the 3' end, to which the tRNAs corresponding amino acid is attached (by aminoacyl-tRNA synthetases). tRNAs cope with the degeneracy of the genetic code in two manners: having more than one tRNA (with a specific anti-codon) for a particular amino acid; and 'wobble' base-pairing, i.e. permitting non-standard base-pairing at the 3rd anti-codon position. The record is from RNAcentral. Lineage: Eukaryota; Metazoa; Chordata; Actinopteri; Osteoglossiformes; Notopteridae.
AGUCCUGUAGUGUAUAGCAUGUUGGAUUGCAAAUCCAAAGAUGCAGGCUAACUGCCUGCCGGGGCUU